This is a non-coding RNA of Hordeum vulgare subsp. vulgare (domesticated barley), 138 nucleotides long. Lineage: Eukaryota; Viridiplantae; Streptophyta; Magnoliopsida; Poales; Poaceae. The record is from Rfam.
UGAAUACUCCCUCCGUCCUAAAAUUCUUUUCUUAAGUUUGUCUAGAAAUGGAGAUGUAUCUAAAUACUAAACCAUGACUAGAUACGUUUAUAUCUAAACAAAUUUAAGACAAGAAUUUUGGGACCGAAGGAGUAGUAG